UACGAAGGGGGCUAGCGUUGUUCGGAGUUACUGGGCAUAAAGCGCACGUAGGCGGAUAUUUAAGUCAGGGGUGAAAUCCCAGAGCUCAACUCUGGAACUGCCUUUGAUACUGGGUAUCUUGAGUAUGGAAGAGGUAAGUGGAAUUGCGAGUGUAGAGGUGAAAUUCGUAGAUAUUCGCAGGAACACCAGUGGCGAAGGCGGCUUACUGGUCCCAUAAC
This 218-nucleotide ribosomal RNA is filed under the name uncultured bacterium. RNAcentral describes it as "partial 16S ribosomal RNA". It matches the Rfam family "Bacterial small subunit ribosomal RNA", at positions 524 to 740 of the family's 1533-position model. The record is from RNAcentral.